UUUUUUACUUGAAUAGCAGCAACCUGAUCCUCAAAGUCACACAUGUGAGACAGCUGUCCUCCAUCUGUUCCAUCAAUAAGACUUUCUGCAGCAAUGGGACUGUUGCUCCCUAUGCUCCAUUGCCUAAGGGAUGAGGAAUUGCAACAUUCUUCUCUUUGAAGAUGAAGAGGAACUUCAUGGAUGUCUUGACACAGCUCUUGCAUUGGUGAAACAAUGUGUGCGUCCACACACAGAACAAGCACAGAAGGACAGGCUUGGUGAUCAAACCAACACAAACCACCCAUCCAAUUUUUCUAUUUUCUGUAUAUCUGGGCAACAAGGCAGCAGCUAUUGUAGUUUUGCAAAUUUGCAUAAUAUUUGCACAAUUGAUGCAAAAAUUGCUUUUCACAAAUGCAAGGACCCUCUUUGAUACCAGCAGGUAAUAUUUUAUGAUCUCACAGGUAAAAAGAAAAAAAGCUAUGGCACUUUCUCAUUCUAGCACAUGAGAUCAAGAUAAUCCAGCAUGUUUACCUCUGUGUUUUCAAUCCACAGUUCUACCUAGUUAAUAAAAUUUUAAAAA
Non-coding RNA from Pogona vitticeps (central bearded dragon), 559 nucleotides. NCBI's taxonomy places the organism in Eukaryota, Metazoa, Chordata, Lepidosauria, Squamata, Agamidae. The record is from RefSeq and is a predicted model, not a curated record.